This 497-nucleotide ribosomal RNA is filed under the name uncultured bacterium. RNAcentral describes it as "partial 16S ribosomal RNA". It matches the Rfam family "Bacterial small subunit ribosomal RNA", at positions 28 to 507 of the family's 1533-position model. The record is from RNAcentral.
GAUGAACGCUGGCGGCGUGCCUAAUACAUGCAAGUCGAACGGAAGGACGAGAAGCUUGCUUCUCUGAUGUUGGCGACGGGCGGGUGAGUGACGAGUAGAUAACCUUCCUCUUUGACUUGGAUAACUUCGGGGAGCCGGAGCUGCUAACAGAUGAUACUUUGAACGGCAUGGUUCAGGAGUGAAUGACGGUCUUGCUGUCACUUAUAGAUGGAUCCGCGCUGCAUUAGCUAGUUGGUAAGGUAACGGCUUACCAAGGAAACGAUGCAUAGCCGACCUGAGAGGGUGAUCGGCCACACUGGAACUGAGACACGGUCCAGACUCCUACGGGAGGCAGCAGUAGGGAAUCUUCGACAAUGGGCGAAAGCCUGACGGAGCAACGCCGCGUGGGUGAUGAAGGUCUUCGGAUCGUAAAACUCUGUUAUUAGGGAAGAACAUAUGUGUAAGUAACUGUGCAUAUCUUGACGGUACCUAAUCAGAAAGCAACGGCUAACUACGUG